RNAcentral lists this long non-coding RNA (314 nucleotides) under Phaseolus vulgaris (common bean). RNAcentral's name for it is "long non-coding RNA (PVUL_LNC005314)". Lineage: Eukaryota; Viridiplantae; Streptophyta; Magnoliopsida; Fabales; Fabaceae. The record is from RNAcentral.
GAGAUAAAUUCUUAAGGAAUGAAUUCUGUGAAUUGUAAAAUUGUGCAGGAUUGGAAUGCUAAUAGAAAUGGUAAGGUUGAGCAAUAUAAAAAAAAUAAAAAAUAAAAAAGACAAUAAAGAAAUGCCUUGAAAACUGGUUCAACUUGUUUCUAAAUAAAAAAAAUUACAGCAGAUAGCUUCUCCAAUAUUAAAUACAAAAAAGAUAACUGAGUGGUUGAUGCUAUAGAAGUUGGAGAAGGCAUAGAGAAACUAUGAAGCUACGAAAAAUUGAGAAAAAGUAGAAGAGAUACAUGAAUUUUCAAGCUCUGGAUACC